RNAcentral lists this long non-coding RNA (5030 nucleotides) under Marmota monax (woodchuck). The record is from RNAcentral. Lineage: Eukaryota; Metazoa; Chordata; Mammalia; Rodentia; Sciuridae.
CCAAGCUAGCAUAUUUCUUUGAUUAUUUUUAUUUCUAUAUUUUUUUGCAGUAUGGGGGAUGAGCUGUAUCCCCAACCCUUUUUGUUUUUAAUUUUGAGACAGGGUCUCACUCAGUUGCCCAAAGCUGGCCUUGAAUUUGUGAUCCUCCUGUCUCAGACUCUGGAGUUACUGGACUGGAGUGUUCUGACAUGCCUGGCUAAGCCAGCAUGUUCCUGAUAUACCCUGUCUUUACUGAAUAACUAAGUGAAUAAAUCAUAGGAUUCUUACAUAAGAAUACCUAGAAUAAGAACUAUGAAUAUAAUUCAAACAUCUCUUUAUUAAGUAUAACCUGUGGGUUAGGGUAUAGCUCAAUGGUGGUGCACUUACCUAGCAUGUGCAAGGCCCAUCCCCAGUAAUGAUGAUGAUGAAGAUGAUGAUGAUGAUGAUAACAAUAAUGGGGUUUAGGUCUUUUUUCAGUUUGGGCUGAUGCUGAUGAUGAUUACUAACACUUCCUUUAAACUUUAAGGAAUGAACUUUAAACUUUAACUGAAUGAAGUUUUUUUUUAAUUCUUAUUGACCUUUUCAUUCUGAUAUUUAUAACAUUAAUACACUGAUCUCUACCAUAAUAAAUAUUUGUAGUGAGUAUUGCAUGAUUUAAGAGGGUUACUAUUUUUUGCAGAGAUCAACAGAUUUCUACCAGUUCAGGAUAUUUUAAAUAUCUUUUAAAUAUAAUGUACAUUCAGAGUUAGGGAAUGGAGGCUAGGGAUGUAGCUCAGUGGUAAAGCACUUGCUUAGCAUGUGUACGGCCCUGGAUUGCAUCACUAGCAUUGCAGAAGAAAAAAGGGAAUUUAUUUCUCUUCUUAAUUCUGCAUUACAUUGUGUCUGUUCACUCUAUGAAUCCUAAAGCCUCAAGCUUUUUUGUUGUUGUUGUUCCCCUUUACAUUAUCAACUGUCAUAACAAGGCUUUUUCAUGGCCAGUUAGGGAUUUAAAUGGCACUAAAAGCAUUUUUUAGAAAGUAUUAUAUUUGAAGAUAUUUGUUGUGCAAAUAUUAACUUAGCUCCUAUAUUUACAAAACUCUUUAUACUAAUACUUAAAACUUGAUUUUUGUGCCAUAACCAUGUCUUUCCCAGAUUAAUUUGUAACUGAAAUAAGCAUUUUCUAAAAUAAGUAAUAAAAAGUGGGUAAAUUUAAAUCUCUAGUUCUGGAGUUGGUCAACUGUUUUUAUUGAUAGACUCCCUGAGAAGAUUUUAAAAAUAAUAGUUUUGUUUUUAUUAGGACAAGGAGCCUUUUCCUGUAGAAGCUUAAGAAAUUGCUGCUAUGACUGUUCUGUGGUUUUGCAGGCUGUUACCAACUUGAAAUUUGGAUCUUCCAAUGGUUCUUCUAGCAUCACUAUUAUAGUGUGUUAAUCUGAAGAAAUAAUAUUAAAAAGUUCACCUUCUCUCUGAUCCUUAAAUUCCCCCUUUCUACAUGGUACUACUGAGCUCUGUGGGGCUUAUGAGUAAGAGGUCUCUUUAGCAAAGUAGGAGUUCAUGGUACCUGAGAAAGUUUUUCUGUAUAUAAUUAUAAAUAUGCAUAUAGCUAUAUCUUUGCCUUGAGGACACUAUGGGCAAUACCUGAAAUGUGUCUGAUUUCCCAUCUUGAUCAUUGAAAUACAGUUCCCACUGAACAUUGUUUUUGCUAUGUGUGCGCUGAUUUCCAGAGACACAAGUAACCAAAAAAUGCCAGCUAACUACUUUGAAGGUUCUCAGAAACUCAGCUCCACCAAACAAAAACUGGUAGUAUUUCUCAUAUUUCAGACAAGAAAUGAAAAAAAAAACUGUUGUAAUGGACAGCUUGGGAAAGGCAGACUUCACUUUGUGGAGGUAUGUUAAACAGUGAGCCCUAAGCCAUGUUUGGUGGGCCUGGUCAGAUCUCAGUGGUCAGAGUGGCUUGGCUUAGUGACAAUGCUCAGGACAAAUGUCCAAACACUACAUCACACCUAGAUGAGACAGACCAGAGUGAAAAGAGAUGUGGUGACACAGGCUCUACCUGUAGGAGUAACAGGUCUAGAUGGUUUCUCCAAGGAGAAGAUGGUAGCUAGACAUGGUGGCACAUGCCUAUAAUCCCAGCAACUUGGCAGGCUGAGGCAGGCGAAUCACAAAUUUGAGGCUAGCCUCAGCAACUUAGUGAGGCCCUAAGUAAUUUAGCAAGACUCUAAGUAAUUUAAAGAGACUCUGCCUCAAAUUUUAAAAAAAUAAAAAGUUCUGGGGACAUGGCUCAGUUGUUAAGUACCCCUGGGUUCAAUUCCCAGUCCAAAAACAAAACCUAAGGGGAAGAUGGCAAGGGGAGGAAGAAGGACCUCCUUGGGGUUGGUUUGGGGGUAACUACUGGGCAGUGAAAGAAGGUGUUUCAUGCACAGGCAGAGAGGAAGUGAACCCUAUACUUCCCACACAUGCCAAACUGCUGCAAGGGAACCAAAGAUAGUACAAUGCAGCAUCAAGUACAGAUAAGGAGACCAAAAUGGCCUAAAAAUAGAGUGACAUCGCUGGGUGCACAUGUAGGUGUGAAUAUUACUUUAUCAUUACCAUGGUCCUCCCAUUCAAAGGCAUCCUCUCUCUGGGGAUCCUAAUUAUCCUGUAUGAUAGAUCAUUCCACCCUGAGUCAAGGCAGGGCCUCUCAGAUCAUAGACAAGGGGCAGAAUUCUCCAUCCCUCCUCUUCAGCUGUGGGAUUUAGGCAAGUUAUUUCAUCUCUUUGACUUCAUAGGCAAAUUUUCUCAUCUGAAAAACAAAGUUGCCAGGAAUAAACGAGAAUGAACUUAAACAAUUUCUAUAGUGCCUGACCCAUAGCAAUGCUUAAUAAACAGGAGCCCUGGUAUAGAUAAAGUAAAAUAAUCAUCAGUCUGCCCCAAAUUUUCUUAUGUCCACACAUUUUUACACUUUAUUUUAAAACUGUUGUAAACAUUCAAUGGAAUAAUGUGUCACUUCUAAAAGAAAGAAAAUUCUGACACAUGCUACAACAUGAAUGGACCUCGAGGAUAUUGCUGAGAUAAACUAGUCUUACAAAAGGACACAUAGUGUAUGAUUUCAUAUCUAUGAGUCACCUAGAGGGGUCAAAUCCACAGACACAAAGUAAAAUGGAAGCCACGGGGAGCUGAGAGGAAGGGAAAGUGGGGAGUUAGUGUCUACUGGGUACAGAGUUCCAAUUUGGGAAAAUGGAAAAGUUCCGGAGAUGUAGGGUGCUGAUAGUUACUCUGUACAUAUACUUACUGCCACUGAACUGCACAUUUAACAAGAGUUAAGUGGUAAGUUCUAUAUGUAGGUUUCUUAUUUUUAUUUUAUAUGUAAUUUUACCACAGUUAAAAUAUCAAGAUACAUAUAUUCAAAGGCAAAAAUAAUUUCAAAUUGAACUAAAAUACACACUUAUGAUGGGCCAACAUCCAAGUAUACAGCUUAAUGAAUCCGAACACACAGAGCAAAAGGCAAAUCAUUUCUUCAUCUCAAAAGCCUCCUUCUCUUUUUAUUUCAUAUCAUGAAUUCCCAUGAAUACCCCCUUUCUUAUUUUCAUUCACUCUAAAAUUCUGUAGGCAAAUUAAGCAGACUAUCGGGAGGGCAGGUGUAGCAGGGAGCAGGUGGAUAGGGGCCGCUAACAUCAGAAGCUGCUGCCUCCAGGUGGGCUUGAGGAAGGGGUCCAGCUGGGUGCUGCUCCUAUAAAGAAAACAGCUCAAAAGCCCUAAAUUUGCCCCAGAAUACUGCUAUUGGCCCUCAUUGGAAUUUUCUUUGAGUCAUUUUAUGAUUUUUUAUUAUCAUUUUUAGUGGGAAAAAUUAAAAGGUCUACAGUUAAAAAAAAAAAAAGUCUACCCAAAGGCUGUUUCUAAGUAAUUUUCAAAAGAAAUUCCUUUGGCCUCCCAAAGCAGUGCCAGAGGGUAUUCCUGACAGUUUGGGGCUAGGCAAGGCCCUGGGAUAGGAAGGUGUUUCCGCCCCUGGGCCACCCUGGCUCCUACUUACCUGGAAGUCAUCCACAUCCAUAGAUUUGUCUGUUUGCUAAGAAAAGAAACAGGCUUGUUUCCUUAAAGAACACAUAUGCCCACUUCCUUAGCUUCUCUGCCAACAAAUAUUGGGGUUGUCCUCAAGGUAGAUCCUAAGGCACUUAUCUGUCACUCUCAGCUAUUGUCACCAUUUAAUAUGACCAAAAAUCAUAGCAGAGGGUUGCCAUCAGGAGACAGAGUGGUAAUGAAUAUGUUCAUUGGUAUGAAUAUGUUCAAUGAAUAUGUUCAUUGCAUUUUCAGAAUUUCAGGCCAAUCCAAUUCUAAAAAUAAUUACUAAACAUUAUAAAAUCAAAAAAGCACUGUGUUGUAAAUGUUAAAAGGGUCCCAAACUUUGGAACCAUGAAGGCCUGGACCUAGGUCUGUCCCACACAAACUGAGUGACUACAGGCCUGUUGCCUUCUAUGAGUUUGUUUCCCUCCUUAAAAUGGAGAUGAUAGCCCAGGAUACUUUGUGAUAUCAGAAUCAAAUUGAUAUUAUUCCGUAGUCAGGCCAAGUAAGAGAGGGUCCCAGAGUCCCCUGAGUCCCUAAGGGAAGAUGCUGGUAGGUUGGAGAUAUCUCUGAUUGACAGGUUUACAGUUUGUCCCCACUCACACACACACACCCCUCCAGUGGGCCAGGCUCAUCAGGGAAACCAGAGUGGUGAAAGAAAAUAAGCUACGAUCACCCGUAGUCACUGCAGCAUUAAUCACAGUAGCCAUGAGAGGGAAGCAACCAAGAGUUCAUCCGUGGAUAAAUGGAUAAAGGACAUGUGUAUCUAUAUUAUGAAUUUUACUCAGUCUUAAAGAGGAAGGCAAUUCUGACACAUGCUACAACAUAGAUGAACCUUGAGGACAUAAUGCUAAGUGAAGUAAACCAGACACAAAAGGACAGAUUCUAUGUGAUUUCACUCACACAAAGUAGUCAAACUUAAAAAAUUAGUCUGGUUGCCAACAGCAGGGAGUGCUAGGAGGAGGGAGCAAUGGGAGUUAACAUUUAUUAUACACAGUUUCCACAUGGGAAGAUGAAAAAGUUCUGGACAUGGAUGG